UCUACAGAUGCGCGAUAUUAUCGCCACAUAUUGGCUCUAAAAUGUAUUAUCGUAUAUCGGAAAAAACAUUUCCUCCUUGAUUUCUAUGCUAGCGACAUCUACGACUUUUUUUAAUGUUUAUUUGUUUCACACAAUGAAGAAAAUGUAAAUCUAUAUCUGCUGUGGCAGAGUGUCAAAAAUAUCACUAAAACUGGGCUAAAACCUCGUGGUGAUUGCUCCUUUUCUGAAGCUUUCCCCAAAUGAUGGAAUCACUAACCCAUUGAAAUCAAAUUUGCCCUAAUUAUUGAACAUAUUUAAUCACUUUUAAUGACCCAUUAUUUUAUCCAUGGCUUAUAUUCCACCUAGACGUAUCUAACUAGAGUUUUACCAUUUCAUUAUUUUCACUGUUUUACAGAAUCGUUGGUCAACCAUGGCUGUUUUUAUCUGUAUGGUAUCGUUGUUUUUAUCGGUAUCUUUAUCAGUUAUCGGCCCUAAUGCCCCCAAUACAUUGGCAAAAGGUUUCAGGUUAUAUCGGCAAGAUUUAAGGCCAGAUUAGGCAAGAGUUUGAUAAAUGUGGUGUCUUUUGAGUUGUAGAUUUUGAUUAUUUUACCUAAAUAAAAUACUGCGCCACAUUCGCUUCCUCCUUUUCAUCCAGACAUAGAUUCACUUUCUAGAUCCUCAACUACAAAAACUGUCUGGUCGUGUUUUGAGUUGUUCCCGUCGACGCAGAACAAAAACUGCUGCAGAACGCUUGGCCUCGCAUUUCACGCUCUCCGGGGAGCAUCUGCUCCACAUAGCAACAGUUGCCGUGGGGCGAGGGAACUGGAUACUGUAUGUGCGGUGUGUGUGUGUGUGUGUGUCACUCAAAUCACUGACAGUUACUCACCCGAUCAAGGAGUCUUCUCCCAGUUGGUUUCCACCUUCCACCAUCGCCUGGGACAGCGCAGUGAGAGGCAGCUUUUUCUGCAGCAGACGAGACACAAACUCAGUGACUUUGUCCAUGCAGCAGCUUCAGUGUUAAGAUGUUUUAAAAAUAAUCGAUGGAAAACCCAUCAAGGGCUUUUCAUCCAGCAGUGAAUUCAGGAGGAGGUGGAGGAAGAAGAGGAGGAAACCACAGAUGAAGAGAUGCAAACUAGGGAAGUGAGACAUCUAUGAAAUGACAAACGCUCCAGCUUCACUUUCUGUUUUAUUGCAAAAAAAAAAGAAGAGAAACAUUCAUAAAUCUCAAGUUUUUAUCUUUAUAUCCCACAGAAUGGCGGGGCAGGAGCGUCAUGCACUGUGAACAAAGACGACAGACGUCUGAAUGAGGGAAAAUGGAGCGAGUGAGUGGUGCUGAGAGAACCACAGAAAACCACGUGUCCUUCACCUGAAAACAGGCUCUGUGAAGCAAAACUCUCCGGCCUGUGACUGAGGGAGCGUUUACAGACAUCAGUGUCCGUGUGAAGUGAGGGACAGAGGCCCGGGGGACUCGCGAGGACAGACGCAGCAGAACAAUCGCGUCUUUGAGGCGCGGUGAAAGUCAACGGUCAGACCUCAGAGAUGCAACUGCACCAUGACGACUAUGAUGGAGGAGAAUGUGUCCCAUACUAAAGCGUCAGAGCGUCUCUGGGAGGCCGUUUCCUGUUUGUAGAAGAAGAAGGGGAGAGAUUUCCUUACGGAGCGAGCGCCUGUCUGCUGGACACAGUGUUCUACCUUCAUACAAUCGCAGGAACCCAGGGGGCAGCGGAGAGGCCCUUUGCACUCUGAAGUUUCUGCAGACGUAGACACGCCGGCGUGCACGGGUCUAAUUGACAAAGCAGAGGACGCUUGUUCGCUCUAGUCCAACCACGGGCGGUCAGAUCACUCGGUCAGAUGAUAGCAGGAAGGAUUUAAACCUACAUGUUCACACAAACGAGAGGGAAGUGCACACGUCUGUUUUAAACAUAACCCUCUCUCCGGUUCUAAUUUACUGCUGGUACGUUGCAGUGAGUGAAAUUAUGAGUAUCCCAGCUGCUGCUGCCUCUCCUACAAGCUACAGGAACAUCAUGAGUUCAGAUCCUCUGUGUGUGGACUCUGCUGACUGUGUUUCCGCCAUAUGAACACUACAGGGACGGUGAGAUUGCUGCCAAAUACUUAAGUGUCUAACUGUCUUACAACAACUACGCUGAGAUUAUUUCCAUUAUCGGCUCAUGUAUCAUUCUAAUAUGCUUGUCAAAAUUUUUAUAAUUCGGUCUGUAAAAUUGGGAAAACAGUGACAUAUAUUCAUUAAAGGUUAUUAGCGAGGUAGAGGCGCAGACCCAGUCCAGAUGUGAACGGGUAUUUUUCAAAACGUAGCCUUUUCUGUGUGUUUUGACUCUCAGGGUCAAAAUAUCGUGACUUGGUGAUAUAUCAUCGUCCGUCCACAUGCAAUACGAUAAUCGAUAAGGGCAGAUAUUGAUAUUCAGAAAAAAGAAAAUGUCUCCUCAUGGUGGCGCUGCUCAAAUGAAUGAGGAGAAACUUAGGUGGAAGUUACCUGAGUUAACAGCGGGAUAAUGGGUGGAGAAAAGCUAUUGUAAGAGAUGCUCCAUCCACGUUCAAUACGCAAGACUUUAUGCACUUUGUUGUGAAUUAAUGGCAGAUAUCGCAACAUAUUGCUAUACGAUUGCCUGGCAAUAUAUUGUUGUAUCAUAUUAUUGGUAUCGUGGAGCACAUAUCGCAAAGGAUUUUUCCCAGGUUUCUCUUGUGAAUAAAUAAGAGAAAUCCUGCACUUUUAACUUUCCACGUUAAUGUUUUUGUCUUCAGUUAGUCAGAUAUUGUGAUGUAUCGCUAUGCGAUUGUCUGGCAAUAUAUUGAUUGUCACAGAAUCGUUGCAUUGUGAUAUUAUUGGUGUAUCGCGUAUCGAAUCGCCUUGUGAGGUACCCUGGAAUUCCCACUGAUUGCAUUUAAAAAAACAAAAUAUUUCUACUCCACUGGCUGCUAAUGUCAAACCAGUGUGGUUUCUUGAAUUCUUCUUAAAGCUGCAGCAAAUAAUGCCACUGAUAAUUUGUGCUAUAAUAAUGUAAAGUGCCCACUCCUGUUAAAAAAAUCUAAAUUAUGAUAAUACAGUGACACGUCCAUAUAGCAAUGGGUUCUGUUCAUGAGUUGUGUGGUAAAGCAGCCUCAUAAUUAUCAUAUUCUCUGUUUAGAAAGUACCAGAAACAGCUUCCGCAUUACUGGAACACGAUAGCCGGCCUCAACAUCAACAACACGUCAAACUUAAAGCAUCAAAAAGCAGCUUAAUGUGUUUAAGUGAUGGAACCGUCUUCUUUGUCUGACUGUGAUGUGUGCAGCAGUGUCUGAGCUAACAGGUGAAUGGACUCUCUAUUAAAAAGGGCAUCAGACUCAACAAAGAGGACGUGUUCUGCUGUGUGUUUAGGUCUGUUAUCUAGUGCUAUUAUGUUAUUGUGC
Molecule: long non-coding RNA, 3384 nt
Organism: Solea solea (common sole)
Lineage: Eukaryota; Metazoa; Chordata; Actinopteri; Pleuronectiformes; Soleidae
Exons: 5
Source: RefSeq, a predicted model, not a curated record